Molecule: long non-coding RNA, 431 nt
Filed under: Chinchilla lanigera (long-tailed chinchilla)
Lineage: Eukaryota; Metazoa; Chordata; Mammalia; Rodentia; Chinchillidae
Description: lncRNA (ENSCLAG00000024368.1)
Source: RNAcentral
CACCGAUCCGCCUCUGCCCACCCCCGGCACAGCCCGCAGCCUUGCUUCCGGGCUCUUCAGGCACCUCUGCCUGUCGGUCCUGUGUCCCACACAACGUGACUCCUGAGGGUCUCUGGGCAGUGGGGUGGCUGCCACAAAUGUGGGACUGACCCCCUUUUGUGUGCACACUGGAAACCUAGGCAAUGUAAAAGCAACUGCUGCCUUAGCAAAUGUGUCGCCACACCCCCUGCGUGAAGACAGUCACCCCCUCUCCGGUCCCCCUAUCCGUCCCGACCUGGCAGGCAGGCAAGAGCACUGCGCCCAUCCCGGACCACUGUGGGGGGCUGUGGAGAUGCAGCGCCGACCAUCACUCGGUCAGAGGGGGCCUUCGCAGUAAGAAUCCAGGGGAAGGUGCCUUGGGGUUCCUGACCCCAUUGUGGAGCAACAGGUGA